CCUACGGGUGGCAGCAGUGGGGAAUAUUGCACAAUGGGGGAAACCCUGAUGCAGCGACGCCGCGUGAGUGAAGAAGUAAUUCGUUACGUAAAGCUCUAUCAGCAGGGAAGAAACACUGACCUUACGGUCCGCAGACGGUAACUGAGUAAGAAGCCCCGGCUAACUACGUGCCAGCAGCCGCGGGAAUACGUAGGGGGCAAGCGUUAUCCGGCUUUACGGGGUGUAAAGGGAGCGGAGACGGUGCGCCAAGUCUGGAGUGAAAUGCCGCAGCUUAACUGCGGAACUGCUUUGGAAACUGGCGAACUAGAGUGCGGGAGGGGUAGGCGGAAUUCCUAGUGUAGCGGUGAAAUGCGUAGAUAUUAGGAGGAACACCGGUGGCGAAGGCGGCUUACUGGACCGUAACUGACGUUGAGGCUCGAAAGCGUGGGGAGCGAACAGGAUUAGAUACCCGUGUAGUC
Molecule: ribosomal RNA, 458 nt
Filed under: uncultured bacterium
Lineage: Bacteria
Description: partial 16S ribosomal RNA
Rfam family: Bacterial small subunit ribosomal RNA
Source: RNAcentral